Molecule: long non-coding RNA, 1328 nt
Organism: Quercus robur (English oak)
Lineage: Eukaryota; Viridiplantae; Streptophyta; Magnoliopsida; Fagales; Fagaceae
Exons: 2
Source: RefSeq, a predicted model, not a curated record
AUUGCUUGUAUUGGUUAAGUUGUAAUUUGGGGGUCUAAACGUUCAAAGAUGUUUUGUACACGUUUUUGAACUUUCAAUCUGCAUACAAUUGAUAGCCUCAAAAGCUUCACUAAUUUAGACAACCCAGAACACAUUAUGUUUGGGAAUCUGUCAAAAUAAUUUGGCAAACUGUUGCAUUUUUAGUUGGGAAAGAAUUUUUGGCUGUCUGAACAAGAAAUUUAGUUGAUCACUAUGUUGGCAAGCCUGGCAUCCUUGCAAUUUUGUGCAGCGUUAGUAAAAAGAGUUAGCAGCGGUCUACAUUAGCACACUACUAGCAGUCUAGCACUCCACUACACUAAUUGAGAUGUUUUGCAGAGAGUUCAUUAAACAUGGAGACAUAUGAUGUGGUAGUUGAAUAUGAGCAGUUGGGUUGAGCACGGAAAAAGGCUUAUCAGUUUGUCUUAAUUAUCAACAACCUUUUCCUUUAUUUCACCUGAUGAUGCCAUGUUGGAAACUUGAGGUACCCCUUCUUUCUAAACUUGCCUUAUGGUUUAAAGAAGUCCGUCUUCUCACCAAGGUUCCAGGAGCUGCUUUCAUGUAUAUUACGUGAGGUAGCUUAGCUUGGCUACUGGAAGCAAAAAUAAUAUAUAUAUGGAGUUGACAUGGAUUUAAGCCCAAAUCAUGCUUGUGAUGAAGCAUGGAUAAAAGAUUGCUGCCACAAGGGCUGAUCUGAUAAUGAGACUGACAUUCUUCUGUAAGAAGAUGUUGGUUUGGGAGAGGUGCUGGUUUGCUUUGGGGCAGCCAAAGAUUAUUGACGCAAUGGUUUUGAGCAUUGAAGUGGCUUAGAUAUCUCAAUUUCACAAUUUUCCAAAGCCCCAAAGAUUAUCAAGGCAAUAGUUUUGAGCCUUGAAGUGGCUUAGAUCUUUGAAUUUCAUAAUUUUUCAAAGCAUCAUCAAAAUCGAAGGUGUUAUAUUGUGUCGUAAAUUAGUCAUUUUUCAGAAUUCAACAAAAUCAAGGACGGAACUCCCAGAUUUGGAUGGUCAAGCAUGAAAUCUUUGCCUUCACAUUGGCCCUAAUACAUUACUAAAAUAUGCAAUUGCUCCAGAGGACCAUAUAUGGAGUCAAAUUUGUUGCAGCAAAACCUUAUGGUAUUGUAGAUUUAAUUAAUUUUUAACCCAUGGUAGUUGUUUUUAUUUUGCUGAUAAUUUAUGUUGGUUUAAGAUUUUAAUGUGUACAAAAGGACUCCUAGCAUUUGGCCUAUCAACCAAUAUAAAAGCAUUAUUCUGCACAUAUACGCCAGGUUGUGCUUACAUGUAACACAGGGUUUACUUUAAUUCUUUUCAUGCCCA